UUUUUUUUUUUUUUUUUUUUUUUUUAAUGCAGGCUCCACAUGGGACUUGAACUCAAUUCUAAGAUCGACUAAGCCAGCCAGGGACCCCUAAUUUGUAUUUUUCUAAAUGUGCUUUUCAAAUAGGGAUUAUGGGUCCCCUUUUUCUUUUUUUAAAGAUUUUAUUUAUUCAUGAGAGACACACAGAGAGAGGCAGAGACAACAGGCAGAGCAGGCUCCAUGCAGGGAGCCCGAUGUGGAGCCCGAUGUGGAACUCGAUCCCGGGACCCUGGGGUCACGCCCUGAGCCAAACAGACUCUCAACCGCUGAGCCACCCAGGCGUCCUUGGUCCCUUUUUUCUUAACUGAAAUUGAAGACCUAGACCAAAGAGGUUAAGCCAGAGAGCUUAAUGAAUAUUUGAAUUUUCUGAUAAUCCUUCCAGUGCCUUUUAAGGAUAUUUUUGAUAGUACAGUAUAUUAUUAAAGUUAAUUCAAAUUAUCAGUCCUUUCUUGGCUCUUUUUGGGAGAAAAUAGAGUGAAAUCAUCAGUUUUUAAAUAACUAUUUCAUAAGCCGGUUAUCAAGAAGUAACAUUUAUCUGUGCUAAUUCACAAAAGGUGAAAAUCUUUUAAUCUGGUGACAGUUCUUUAAAAUGUAAAGCCCCAUGAAAGAAAAACCAUAUAGCAAGGACAAGAUACUUUGAGGACUUUUUGCUGUUUCCUGGGUGACAAAACUACCCAUCUUGUCCAAAAGCUAUUGAAUAUAAGCUCCCACACCACAACUGAAUCCGAUAUUCGUAUUUUAAAGCCUAAAAAUGUUUCAAUUGAAGAAGUGGUAUAGGUGGUUUCUCCUCUUCAAAGACUAAGGCCCAUGGUAGUGGCACAGGGAAUUUAGGAAGGGUGUAAUUUUGGAUGGGCCUUUCUGAAGAUGGUCAGAUGGCGCCUGUUCGCUGACUGAUGGUCUUUGGUGUGUCCCUUUGAGGCUGACCUGGCGGUCCCAAGUCCCCAGCAAUUAGUCCACCGCUCUGCUGGAACUAACGCUGUGCUGCUGCCCCUUCCAGUCAGACAUUUAAAAGAUCACCAACUGGAUAAAGAGUGAUUUGCAAAAUAGUCAUCACGUAAAAGAAAUUCUUCUCUGCGGAAUGUCUGACAAGGAUAUGAUUCUAAAAAAUUAGGGAUUUCCUUAAAUGCAGAAUGAAGAGCUAAAGCUUAAGAGGGGUAUUGGUUGAGAGGUUCAUUCAAUAUGGGAAGUGGCUUACUUGUCCCUCUUCACUGACGGCGAGUCUUAGGAAAUGGGCGGCUUUAGUUAGACGAAACAUGGGCAGGGUUUGUGAUUCAGAUUAUUAAAAGUGAAGAAUCCAAAAAUUGGCUUUUAAAAAUAUAUUGUCAGGGGGCCAGGUGGCUCAGUCGGUCCGACCCUUGAGUUUUGCUCAGGUCAUGAUCUCCAGAGUAUGGUAUUGAGGCCCGCUCCGCACUCCCGAGGAGCCUGCUGAGAUUUUUUCUCUCCCUUCCCUGUGCACCUCCCCCAUCUCGCAAAUAAAUCUUUUAUUUAUUUUUGUAAAGACUUCGUUUAUUCAGGAGAGACAGAGAAAGGCAGAGACACAGGCAGAGGGAGAAGCAGGCUCCAUGCAGGGAGCCCGAGGUCAGACUUGAUCCCUGGACCCUGGGACCCCAGGAGGGAGUCAAAGGCAGACACUCAACCACUGUACCACCCAGGCGCUUCACUUUCCUGAAUUUUCAUCUUAUUUCACUAUUCCACAAUUGUUUCUAGCUUUACUGUAUCUUAUUGAACUUUAAUUUAGGACCUAGAAUUUUUACCGCACUUGAAAAUGGCCUGGGGAAGAAACAUUUGUUUUAUCAAGUGGAACUAAUGUUCUUUUUUUAAAAAAGAUUUUAUUUAUUCGAGUCAGAGACAAUGCAGGGAGGAGCAGAGGGAGACGGACAAGUAGGCUUGGUGCUGAGUGCAGAGCCCAACACGGGGCUCAAUGGCAGGACCCCAAGAUCGUGACCUGAGCCUAAGUCAGGAGUCUGCUGCUUAACCGACUGGGCCACCCAGGCACCUGAAGACUGAUUUUCUUGUAUAGCAUAUAGGAUUCAGUCUUCUGUUUCAUGCAUUUGAUUUUAAACUCUAAUGGCCAUUCUACAACCCACCCCCCAUAUUUCACCUUCUAUAUGUAGGUGUGUUGGUUUUUUUUUUUUUUUAAGAUUUUAUUUGUUUAUUUGAGAGAGAGUUGGAGCAGAAGGGAGGGAGAGAAAGAUGGAGAGAUUUUCACUGAGUGUGGAGUUCGUUGUGGUACUUGAUCCCACCACACUGAGAUGACAACCUGAGUUGAGACCAAGACUGAGAUGCUUAACCAACUGAGCCACCCGAACACCCCUAAUAUAUGUAGUUUUUUUUUUUUAAUAUGUAGUUUUUAAGUGAAAUUAUACAUGGGUUUAGAAGAACUAUAGACAAUGUAUGAAUUUCACCAAGAAUGUGUAAGCAAACCUGGGAAUAAACAUUUUAGGUUUUGCCUGCAAUUUCAUAUGUAAACCCAAGAAAAAAACUUGUAGCUUAAAAGACCUACUUUGUUGCAAAAUAUAUAUGUGACACUUCAAAAGAUUUUCAGUUUUGGAUUCAUUUGUGAGUGGGGACCUAACAAAAAAAAUGAAUAAUAAGCAGAUUCAGGAUUUAGGAGGCGAUUUGUGUUUCUGUUUUCCUAAACAUUCUAUGUGGAGCAUUGUACUGGUGCUCUGAAAGAUAUACAAAAUGUACCAUAUAAUUCACUUCUUUGAGGAACUUAAAAACCUAGGGGAGAAUUAUCUAAGAGAUAGAAGAGAAUUCAGAGACAUUAAAGAUGGAGGAGGUAAAAUUAGUACUUGUAGAAAGUAGUGCAAAGCUUAAGCGUCAACCAAAAGUAUCUCAAAACUAAUAAAGCCACGGGGUGUAAAAUUAAUCUCAGAAAUUAAAAGCUUUCAUUCAUAUAAACAACAGCCAAUGAGAAGACAUACUGGAAGAAAAAGCUUCUUUUAAAGUAAAGACAGAGGGGGGGCCUCUGGAUGACUCAGGUGGUUAAGCGUCCCGCUCUUGGUUUUGGCUCAGGUCCUGAUCUCAGGGUCAUGGGAUCAGCACCCCAUCAGGCCCUGGGCUCAGCACAGAGUCUACUUAAGAUUCUCUCUCCUUCUGCCCCUCCCCCUUCUCUCUCCUCUCAAAGUGAAUAAAUAAAAUCUUUUACAAAAAAAUAAGAACAAAGGAGAGAACACCUAGGAAUAAAUCAUAGGCAAGACCCCGAAAAGAAAACUUUCUUUUUCCUGAAAAAGAAAGCACAAACACAUGGAGAGGCAUGCCAUACUUCUGGAUAGGAAGACUUAACCAACAUAAACAUGCCAAUUAUUUGUAAGUUAAUCUAUAAAUGUAAUGCCAUCUCAAUAAAAAUAUUAGGAUUUUCCAAAACCAGAAAGCUGAUUCCAAAGUUCCUAUGAAGAAGCUCAGUAAGACUAGCCAGGACAGCUCUGAAAACAGUAGUGAGGACAGACUAGCCUUACAAAAUACUGAAAACAGAAAACUGCAGUAAUGAAAGCAGUCUGGUACUGACAUGUGACCAGACAGAUCAUUAGGAUAAAACAGACGCAGAUAGUGGAAUUUAGCACAAGAUAAAGGUGACAUUUCAAUUCAGUGAGGAAAGUAUGGUUUAUCCAUUAAGUGUCAGGACACCUGCAUAGCUAUUUGCAGGAAUAAACAAAAGCUGGAAUCAUACCUCAUACCAAAAUAAAAUCCAAUGUUAAAUGUGAAAACUGAAAUGUUUAAAGUACUUGAAGAAAUCAUAGAAUCUUAAAACAUUCAGUGUAGUGAAAGCUUUUCUAAGUUUGGUAUAAAAUCCAGAAACAAUAAAAAAGAUAUUAACUGUUAAGUUCAUAAUAAUGUAUAAUAUACAUAUAAUAAUGGUAAUGUCAUGAUAUAUAUAAAAUAAAUUACCCCUCUCAGGAGUGCCUGGGUGGCACAGUCCGUUGAGCAUCUACCUUUGGCUCAGGUCAUGAUCCCAGGGUCCUGGGACUGGGCCCCAAAUCAGCCUCCCUGCUCCCCGUUGAAGUUGGACCAGGAGGAAGUAGUCCCAAAUCUUGUCUCUGAUAAAGAACCUGUAUCCAAAAUGUAUAAGGAAAUCUCAAAAAUAAAUUUAAAAAUAGAUUAUUUGAACAGACAUGGCACUAAGAAGAUAAACAGAAGUCAAGCCCGUGAAAGAGUGUUCGACAUCACUUUCUCUCUCUGCCUCUCUCUCCCCCUCUCCCUGCAGCUCUCCCUGCUUCUGCUCUCUCUGUCAAAGGAGUAAAUAAAAUCUUUAAAAAAAAUAUUCCUCAUCUCAAAAAUCACCUUAAGCAAAGAGAAAUUACAGAUUUGGAAAAAAGAAUUGCAAAUCAUACCAUGCAUUGCUUAAUAUAUAAAGAACUCCUAGAAUUCAAUAAGGAAAAAAAA
RNAcentral lists this long non-coding RNA (4422 nucleotides) under Canis lupus familiaris (dog). RNAcentral's name for it is "lncRNA (ENSCAFG00000058367.1)". The record is from RNAcentral. Lineage: Eukaryota; Metazoa; Chordata; Mammalia; Carnivora; Canidae.